CUACGGGAUGCUGCAGUGGGGAAUAUUGGACAAUGGGGGAAACCCUGAUCCAGCAAUGCCGCGUGUGUGAAGAAGGCCUGCGGGUUGUAAAGCACUUUCGGUUGGGAGGACUGCUUCUAGCACUAAUAUUGUUGGAAGUUGACGUUACCUUCAGAAGAAGCACCGGCUAACUCCGUGCCAGCAGCCGCGGUAAUACGGGGGGUGCAAGCGUUAAUCGGAAUUACUGGGCGUAAAGCGCGCGUAGGCGGCUAGAUCAGUCGGGUGUGAAAGCCCCAGGCUUAACCUGGGAACUGCAUCCGAUACUGUCUAGCUUGAGUACAGGAGAGGAGAGUGGAAUUCCACAUGUAGCGGUGAAAUGCGUAGAUAUGUGGAGGAACACCAAUGGCGAAGGCAGCUCUCUGGCCUGAUACUGACGCUGAGGUGCGAAAGCGUGGGGAGCAAACAGGAUUAGAUACCCGAGUAGUC
RNAcentral lists this ribosomal RNA (465 nucleotides) under uncultured bacterium. RNAcentral describes it as "partial 16S ribosomal RNA". It matches the Rfam family "Bacterial small subunit ribosomal RNA", at positions 339 to 795 of the family's 1533-position model. The record is from RNAcentral.